Argentina anserina (silverweed cinquefoil) is the source of this 509-nucleotide long non-coding RNA. RefSeq lists it as uncharacterized. The record is from RefSeq and is a predicted model, not a curated record. NCBI's taxonomy places the organism in Eukaryota, Viridiplantae, Streptophyta, Magnoliopsida, Rosales, Rosaceae. The transcript has 3 exons.
AAAAGAUGCGGCCCUGCAAACUGAAGAAAGAAGACGAUUGAAAGAGAAGACCAUCUUCUCAAAAGAACUGAAGAAGAUCAGAAGAACUGAAGAAGGAUUUGGCUUAUGCGUAAGUAGAGUAGUAGGAGUCAAUAUCAAAGGUUGGAACAGGUUUCCGUCUUGUGGAUUAGAGACUAUAGAGGCUAGCUAGAAGGCUAGAAGGAUUACUUGAUUGAUUUGAAUGCUAACUGUAAUAGAUUGAAUUUGUGAUGGCUCAUAGUGUUGGUACUAGUUCUUCAAGAGUUUCUAAUACAACAAGAACUACUCUAACGACAAAUACCCCAACACAAGAAAGUUAUGAAAUACUAUGGAGACUGGCUUUGUCGGAUGUUGGUUGAGAAUAUGGAUUUUGUGAGGAUCAUAAUGAGAGAAAUGUGGUUACUUACACAUUGUGUAACAAAAGAGAUAAUAUUGUGGAAUAACUCGAUUAAAAGAGCAAAUAGCCAAUGUAUCCAAUGUAUUUUGAAGUA